This 448-nucleotide ribosomal RNA is filed under the name uncultured bacterium. Its description in RNAcentral is "bacterial SSU rRNA". It matches the Rfam family "Bacterial small subunit ribosomal RNA", at positions 355 to 825 of the family's 1533-position model. The record is from RNAcentral.
UGGGGAAUCUUGGACAAUGGGCGCAAGCCUGAUCCAGCCAUGCCGCGUGAGUGAUGAAGGCCUUAGGGUUGUAAAGCUCUUUUUGCCGGGGACGAUAAUGACGGUACCCGGAGAAUAAGUCCCGGCUAACUUCGUGCCAGCAGCCGCGGUAAUACGAAGGGGACUAGCGUUGUUCGGAAUCACUGGGCGUAAAGCGCACGUAGGCGGAUUUGUAAGUCAGGGGUGAAAUCCCGGGGCUCAACCUCGGAACUGCCUUUGAUACUGCGAAUCUCGAGUCCGAUAGAGGUGAGUGGAAUUCCCAGUGUAGAGGUGAAAUUCGUAGAUAUUAGGAAGAACACCGGUGGCGAAGGCGGCUCACUGGAUCGGUACUGACGCUGAGGUGCGAAAGCGUGGGGAGCAAACAGGAUUAGAUACCCCAGUAGUCCCUGAGCGGGCUGGCAAGGCGCAU